Molecule: transfer RNA, 94 nt
Filed under: Gasterosteus aculeatus (three-spined stickleback)
Lineage: Eukaryota; Metazoa; Chordata; Actinopteri; Perciformes; Gasterosteidae
Rfam family: tRNA
About the family: Transfer RNA (tRNA) molecules are approximately 80 nucleotides in length.
Source: Rfam by way of RNAcentral
GCUCCAGUGGCGCAAUCGGUUAGCGCGCGGUACUUAUAAGACAGUAUUCAGCAGAGCGAUGCCGAGGUUGUGAGUUCGAGCCUCACCUGGAGCA